This 292-nucleotide ribosomal RNA is filed under the name uncultured bacterium. RNAcentral describes it as "partial 16S ribosomal RNA". The record is from RNAcentral.
GGACUACACGGGUAUCUAAUCCUGUUUGCUCCCCUUGCUCUCGCGCCUCAGCGUCAGGUCUUAGCUAGAAAACCGCUUUCGCCACCGGUGUUCUUCCACAUAUCUACGCAUUUCACCGCUACACGUGGAAUUCCGUUUCCUCCGCCAAUCCUCAAGAUAUGUAGUUUCUCAUGCAGCUCCAAAAUUGAGUUUUGGAAUUUCACACCAGACUUACAUUCCCGCCUACGCGCCCUUUACGCCCAAUCAUUCCGAUUAAUGCUUGCACCCUCCGUAUUACCGCGGCGGCUGGCAC